UCUCUCUUGAGUGGAUCCUGAGUACGGCGGAGCACGUGAAAUUCCGUCGGAAUCUGGGAGGACCAUCUCCUAAGGCUAAAUACUCUCUAGUGACCGAUAGUGAACCAGUACCGUGAGGGAAAGGUGAAAAGUACCCCGGAAGGGGAGUGAAAUAGAACCUGAAACCGUGUGCUUACAAGUAGUCAGAGCCCGUUAAUGGGUGAUGGCGUGCCUUUUGUAGAAUGAACCGGCGAGUUACGAUCUGAUGCAAGGUUAAGCAGAAAAUGUGGAGCCGUAGCGAAAGCGAGUCUGAAUAGGGCGAAUGAGUAUUUGGUCGUAGACCCGAAACCAGGUGAUCUACCCUUGGUCAGGUUGAAGUUCAGGUAACACUGAAUGGAGGACCGAACCGACUUACGUUGAAAAGUGAGCGGAUGAACUGAGGGUAGCGGAGAAAUUCCAAUCGAACUUGGAGAUAGCUGGUUCUCUCCGAAAUAGCUUUAGGGCUAGCCUCAAGUGAUGAUUAUUGGAGGUAGAGCACUGUUUGGACGAGGGGCCCCUCUCGGGUUACCGAAUUCAGACAAACUCCGAAUGCCAAAUAAUUUAACUUGGGAGUCAGAAUGUGGGUGAUAAGGUCCAUAUUCGAAAGGGAAACAGCCCAGACCACCAGCUAAGGUCCCAAAAUAUAUGUUAAGUGGAAAAGGAUGUGGCGUUGCCCAGACAACUAGGAUGUUGGCUUAGAAGCAGCCAUCAUUUAAAGAGUGCGUAAUAGCUCACUAGUCGAGUGACACUGCGCCGAAAAUGUACCGGGGCUAAACAUAUUACCGAAGCUGUGGAUUGUCCUUUGGACAAUGGUAGGAGAGCGUUCUAAGGGCGGUGAAGCAUGAUCGCAAGGACAUGUGGAGCGCUUAGAAGUGAGAAUGCCGGUGUGAGUAGCGAAAGACGGGUGAGAAUCCCGUCCACCGAUUGACUAAGGUUUCCAGAGGAAGGCUCGUCCGCUCUGGGUUAGUCGGGUCCUAAGCUGAGGCCGACAGGCGUAGGCGAUGGAUAACAGGUUGAUAUUCCUGUACCACCAUUAUUCGUUUUAAGCGAUGGGGGGACGCAGUAGGAUAGGCGAAGCGUGCUGUUGGAGUGCACGUCCAAGCAGUGAGAUUGAGUGUUAGGCAAAUCCGGCACUCUUAAGAUUGAGCUGUGAUGGGGAGAGGAACUUGUUCCUCGAGUCGUUGAUUUCACACUGCCGAGAAAAGCCUCUAGCUAGAAUAACGGUGCCCGUACCGCAAACCGACACAGGUAGUCAAGAUGAGAAUUCUAAGGUGAGCGAGCGAACUCUCGUUAAGGAACUCGGCAAAAUGACCCCGUAACUUCGGGAGAAGGGGUGCUCUUUGAGGUUCACGCUUCGAAGAGCCGCAGUGAAUAGGCCCAAGCGACUGUUUAUCAAAAACACAGGUCUCUGCUAAACCGUAAGGUGACGUAUAGGGGCUGACGCCUGCCCGGUGCUGGAAGGUUAAGAGGAGUGGUUAGCGCAAGCGAAGCUACGAAUCGAAGCCCCAGUAAACGGCGGCCGUAACUAUAACGGUCCUAAGGUAGCGAAAUUCCUUGUCGGGUAAGUUCCGACCCGCACGAAAGGCGUAACGAUUUGGGCACUGUCUCAACGAGAGACUCGGUGAAAUCAUAGUACCGGUGAAGAUGCCGGUUACCCGCGACAGGACGGAAAGACCCCGUGGAGCUUUACUGUAGCCUGAUAUUGAAAUUCGGUACAGUUUGUACAGGAUAGGUAGGAGCCUUAGAAGCGUGAGCGCUAGCUUACGUGGAGGCAUUGGUGGGAUACUACCCUAAUUGUAUUGGAUUUCUAACCCGCAGCACUUAUCGUGCUGGGAGACAGUGUCAGGCGGGCAGUUUGACUGGGGCGGUCGCCUCCUAAAGAGUAACGGAGGCGCUCAAAGGUUCCCUCAGAAUGGUUGGAAAUCAUUCAUAGAGUGUAAAGGCAUAAGGGAGCUUGACUGCGAGACCUACAAGUCGAGCAGGGUCGAAAGACGGACUUAGUGAUCCGGUGGUUCCGCAUGGAAGGGCCAUCGCUCAACGGAUAAAAGCUACCCCGGGGAUAACAGGCUUAUCUCCCCCAAGAGUUCACAUCGACGGGGAGGUUUGGCACCUCGAUGUCGGCUCAUCGCAUCCUGGGGCUGUAGUCGGUCCCAAGGGUUGGGCUGUUCGCCCAUUAAAGCGGUACGCGAGCUGGGUUCAGAACGUCGUGAGACAGUUCGGUCCCUAUCCGUCGUGGGCGUAGGAAAUUUGAGAGGAGCUGUCCUUAGUACGAGAGGACCGGGAUGGACAUACCUCUGGUGUACCAGUUGUCGUGCCAACGGCAUAGCUGGGUAGCUAUGUAUGGACGGGAUAAGUGCUGAAAGCAUCUAAGCAUGAAGCCCCCCUCGAGAUGAGAUUUCCCAACUUCGGUUAU
This 2431-nucleotide ribosomal RNA is filed under the name Staphylococcus intermedius NCTC 11048. RNAcentral's name for it is "bacterial LSU rRNA". It matches the Rfam family "Bacterial large subunit ribosomal RNA", at positions 391 to 2830 of the family's 2925-position model. Lineage: Bacteria; Bacillati; Bacillota; Bacilli; Caryophanales; Staphylococcaceae. The record is from RNAcentral.